UCCGCCCACCGCCCAGCAUCGCUCCGCCCACCGCCCGACAUCGCUGGGUCCUCGGAGAGAACCGGCUUCUGGAGGGAGAAGGCUGCACGCACCUGGACCCAGGCUGGUGCAUGAGCUUCGGAGACCGAGGCAGAGAGCUCAAACGGCUGUCCAGAUGUGCCGAAGUUCAGACUUUGGAGGGCAAAAGGAGGGCAUAAAAUGGUAAACUUCACUGAGGAGUUGGAGAGAGUUCGGGAACAUUGGCUAACCCAGAGCCACCAAGGGAGAGGAUCAGUUGUGUUGUCAACUUCUUUUUAUAAAGCCAUCAUGCAGGGAUGGGUUUUGUCAGUGGCAUAUGCCACUGCCAACUCAUUGAACUAAUAAACUUUUGUGGUGGGA
Long non-coding RNA from Peromyscus eremicus (cactus mouse), 378 nucleotides. RefSeq lists it as uncharacterized. The record is from RefSeq and is a predicted model, not a curated record. Lineage: Eukaryota; Metazoa; Chordata; Mammalia; Rodentia; Cricetidae. The transcript has 2 exons.